UACGUAGGGGGCGAGCGUUGUUCGGAAUUACUGGGCGUAAAGGGCUCGUAGGCGGCCAACUAAGUCACACGUGAAAUCCCCAGGCUUAACCUGGGAACUGCGUGUGAUACUGGAUGGCUUGAAUUCGGGAGAGGGAUGCAGAAUUCCAGGUGUAGCGGUGAAAUGCGUAGAUAUCUGGAGGAAUACCGGUGGCGAAGGCGGCAUCCUGGACCGACAUUGACGCUGAGGAGCGAAAGCUAGGGGAGCAAACGGG
Molecule: ribosomal RNA, 253 nt
Filed under: uncultured bacterium
Lineage: Bacteria
Description: partial 16S ribosomal RNA
Rfam family: Bacterial small subunit ribosomal RNA
Source: RNAcentral